RNAcentral lists this long non-coding RNA (1497 nucleotides) under Sorghum bicolor (sorghum). RNAcentral describes it as "long non-coding RNA (SBIC_LNC005191)". Lineage: Eukaryota; Viridiplantae; Streptophyta; Magnoliopsida; Poales; Poaceae. The record is from RNAcentral.
AAAAUUGAUACUUAAGAACCGUCAACAAAUACCCCCAUACUUAGGCUUUUACUCGUCCUCGAGAAAAGGAUGGUUAAGAACAAUAUCUGGGGUAAACAUUUAAAACAUUCUCUUUAUAAUUGCAGGGUGUUAAAAACCCACUGUGUACCAUAGUCAGGGAUGUUUAUGGUUAAGAGUAAAGAUCCUUUCUUCUCAAUCCUAUCACUUGGAGUUUUUGUAUAUUUUUGAAAGAAAGUUAGCAUACCUUUUUAUCCUCAUAGGUUCUCUCAGAUCACUCAUUAGCUAUUAUAUAUAUCUCACUGAGGCUGUUUUAUUUUGCAAAAAUUCUCAAGCAUUCUUACUUUGCAUUUAUUGUCUGAUCAAAACGGGAUCCGAGGAGGGGAAUGUCAUACUCUUAGAUAAAAGACUUUGGAAAUUAAAAACUUUGUCAACUCUUGGUGGCAUAUUGCUUAUUAGAGGGACCAUGGGCUAUCAUUUUUUUCUCUUUUCUCUUUUUUUAAGUGGAUACCGAGGUACCCCUAAUUCUACUGCCGGACACUUGUCCAUUUUUUUCUGCGAGGUUAUCGAGCACUUGCUCCUUUUUAUUUCCUCGAAAUACUUCUAUUUUUGCAUAGCCCAUGCCUCUAAUGCAAUAAUACUUCGGAAGAGUGAAUCUUACUGAAAUAAUGUCUUGAUCUUGGGAGCAUGAUAAAUCUCUCAACAAGGGUCUAACUCAUUUUGAACAAACUCAAUACAGAGCAUAUAGCUUUUAUAAUCAUAAUUAAUAUUUUUAGUUUUAUCAGGCAUAUAAAACACUGAGGAUGGUAGCUAGAAUUUUGAAUAUUUUGAAAUAAAUUCUCCAAGCAACAAUGAUAUCAAGAAUAAGAAACUCAUACUCUACCAUUCUAUAUUGACUUAAGUAACACAGGGGUUUAAAAUGAUUUUAUAAUAAUUGCAAGUUUUCAGGAAAUAUCAUAGAUUGAGAUUAAUCAUGAUUAGAAAUAUUUUUAAUCUUUUCAUCUUAUCAUGUCGGGAACAAUAAUCUGCAUAAUCCAAAAUAAAUGUAUGUGUAAAGUGUGCAGAGUGUGUACCUGAAUCGUGGAGUGGUAUAGUUGGAGUGUGUUUGGCAUGUCGAGGGAUCUCCCCCAUACUUGUUUUCUGCUUUCUUGCACAAAAAUAAAAUAGAGACACACAAGACAUAAUAAUAAUAAUAAUAAUAAUAAUAAUAAUAAUAAUAAUAAUAAUAAUAAUAAUAAUAAUAAUAAUACUCUUUAUUGAUCUUUAGGCAUUUAUUACAAAAGACUGAUAGCAAACUGAUAGCAAACUAAUAAUAGCAAACUUAAACCGAAUUUAAAGAUAGAUGCCUAAGAUGCAUUGCCUCAAGGUCUAAUCUAGAUAACUUAGCGGCGCUCUAAUUCUUUGAUCUUCUUGUUGGCACUGGCAAGAUCCUGCCUAAGGCCUAGUAUAAUGGUGUUGUGGUUAGAGAGCUGCCUAGUGAGGGAAUUAAUCGAGGACUGG